RNAcentral lists this long non-coding RNA (795 nucleotides) under Apis dorsata (giant honeybee). RNAcentral describes it as "uncharacterized LOC102676952, transcript variant X1". Lineage: Eukaryota; Metazoa; Arthropoda; Insecta; Hymenoptera; Apidae. The record is from RNAcentral.
UAUUAUCCUUUAAGACAUUAUUUAUGAUUAUUGGUUCUGUGAGUUUUAUACAGACCAAGGAAAAAUUCUCACAAAAAAUUUUCCAAUCGAAAUUCAAUCGAUUCCAUUCGAAGAGGGGAAGAGACGAGGAAGAAGCGACUUCCUUCCUCCGUCCUUUGUCCUAGAGUAAUGGAAAAGAAAGCGCAGGUGGGGUAGCAGGCCAGAUCUCUUUUCGCUCUGCUCAAGAUCUCAUAUUAGAGAGCAUCCAUCCAUCCAUCCAUCCAUCCAUCGGGUCCAUAGGAUUUUAUAGAAGCGUGGGAGAGAGGGACAGGUGGUUCGAGUUAUCCUUGUGUAUCCUGCGUUCUUCAGUAGCACCUUACCGUAUAUUCGAUAUUUCUGUUCCAUAUCCUACCUGAGCACACCUUGUGGGAAAGCUUCCUGAUGCUGAUUGAAUCGUGGAAACCGUGAACGCGAUUGAUCUCGUAUCCGACUAGAAUAGGCGCCAUGAAAUUUACAUAGAUUCGACGAAUGUUUUAUGAACGGUUGAAGAAAAAGUAAAUCGAAAUGGAAAUUGGCAAUUAUCUCUUCAAAAAUGAUUUUACGAACGCUAAAAAGAAGUAUCAACACUUACGUACCCUGUCGUUUCAUGAGCCAACUUAAUUUACGCUUCUCGCAUGAAAGUUUAAUUGCUUCUACUCUUUUCGCGAAACAGGGAAUUAUUCGAUCAAGCGGAGAAGCGUGAAGAAGAACCUGUGCCUUGCCAAUGUUUAAACUCGAGAUGAUUGUAGCUGUUUCUAAAAAUAAACACGACAUACA